UACGGAGGUGGCGAGCGUUGUUCGGAAUUACUGGGCGUAAAGCGCGCGUAGGCGGGGAGGCAAGUCGGGAGUGAAAACCCUCGGCUCAACUGAGGAACUGCGCCCGAAACUGCCUCUCUUGAGUCCCGGAGAGGAAGGUGGAAUUCCCGGUGUAGCGGUGAAAUGUGUAGAGAUCGGGAGGAACACCCGUGGCGAAGGCGGCCUUCUGGACGGUGACUGACGCUGAGGCGCGAAAGCGUGGGGAGCAAACGGC
This 253-nucleotide ribosomal RNA is filed under the name uncultured bacterium. RNAcentral describes it as "partial 16S ribosomal RNA". It matches the Rfam family "Bacterial small subunit ribosomal RNA", at positions 524 to 776 of the family's 1533-position model. The record is from RNAcentral.